GAUGAACGCUGGCGGCGUGCCUAAUACAUGCAAGUCGAGCGAACGGACGAGAAGCUUGCUUCUCUGAUGUUAGCGGCGGACGGGUGAGUAACACGUGGAUAACCUACCUAUAAGACUGGGAUAACUUCGGGAAACCGGAGCUAAUACCGGAUAAUAUUUUGAACCGCAUGGUUCAAAAGUGAAAGGCGGUCUUGCUGUCACUUAUAGAUGGAUCCGCGCUGCAUUAGCUAGUUGGUAAGGUAACGGCUUACCAAGGCAACGAUGCAUAGCCGACCUGAGAGGGUGAUCGGCCACACUGGAACUGAGACGCGGUCCAGACUACUACGGGAGGCAGCAGUAGGGAAUCUUCCGCAAUGGGCGAAAGCCUGACGGAGCAAAGCCGCGUGAGUGAUGAAGGUCUUCGGAUCGUAAAACUCUGUUAUUAGGGAAGAACAUAUGUGUAAGUAACUGUGCACAUCUUGACGGUACCUAAUCAGAAAGCCACGGCUAACUACGUG
RNAcentral lists this ribosomal RNA (497 nucleotides) under uncultured bacterium. RNAcentral describes it as "partial 16S ribosomal RNA". It matches the Rfam family "Bacterial small subunit ribosomal RNA", at positions 28 to 507 of the family's 1533-position model. The record is from RNAcentral.